GAUGAGCGCUGGCGGCGUGCCUAAUACAUGCAAGUCGAGCGGUAAGGCUCCUUCGGGAGUACACGAGCGGCGGACGGCUGAGUAACACGUAGGAACGUACCCCAAAGUGAGGGAUAACUGCUCGAAAGAGUAGCUAAUACCGCAUGUGAUCUCCGGAUUAAAGCUUUAUGCGCUUUGGGAACGGCCUGCGUUCGAUUAGCUUGUUGGUGAGGUAAUAGCUCACCAAGGCGACGAUCGAUAGCUGGUCUGAGAGGAUGAUCAGCCAGACUGGGACUGAGACACGGCCCAGACUCCUACGGGAGGCAGCAGUAGGGAAUUUUCCACAAUGGGCGAAAGCCUGAUGGAGCAACGCCGCGUGCAGGAUGAAGGCCUUCGGGUUGUAAACUGCUUUUAUUGGACGAUUAUGACGGUAACCAAUGAAUAAGGGUCUGCUAACUACGUGCCAGCAGCCGCAGUAACAC
RNAcentral lists this ribosomal RNA (461 nucleotides) under uncultured bacterium. Its description in RNAcentral is "bacterial SSU rRNA". It matches the Rfam family "Bacterial small subunit ribosomal RNA", at positions 28 to 526 of the family's 1533-position model. The record is from RNAcentral.